Molecule: ribosomal RNA, 863 nt
Filed under: uncultured bacterium
Lineage: Bacteria
Description: bacterial SSU rRNA
Rfam family: Bacterial small subunit ribosomal RNA
Source: RNAcentral
GGGUGCGUAACACGUAUGCAACCUACCUUUAACUGGGGGAUAGCCCGGAGAAAUUCGGAUUAAUACCCCAUAACAUAAUAACAGGGCAUCUUGUUAUUAUCAAAACUCCGGUGGUUAAAGAUGGGCACGCGGCUGAUUAGCUAGUUGGUGAGGUAAUGGCUCACCAAGGCUACGAUCAGUAGGGGGUCUGAGAGGAUGUCCCCCCACACUGGUACUGAGACACGGACCAGACUCCUACGGGAGGCAGCAGUAGGGAAUAUUGGGCAAUGGACGAAAGUCUGACCCAGCCAUGCCGCGUGCAGGAUGACUGCCCUAUGGGUUGUAAACUGCUUUUAUACGGGAAGAAACCCCUGAACGUGUUCGGGGCUGACGGUACUGUAUGAAUAAGGAUCGGCUAACUUCGUGCCAGCAGCCGCGGUAAUACGAAGGAUCCAAGCGUUGUCCGGAUUUACUGGGUUUAAAGGGUGCGUAGGCGGACUUUUAAGUCAGUGGUGAAAGCUGGUAGCUUAACUAUCAAAUUGCCAUUGAAACUGAAAGUCUCGAGUAUAGUUGAGGUAGCUGGAAUGUAUCAUGUAGCGGUGAAAUGCUUAGAUAUGAUACAGAACACCAAUUGCGAAGGCAGGUUGCUAAACUAUAACUGACGCUGAGGCACGAAAGCGUGGGGAGCAAACAGGAUUAGAUACCCUGGUAGUCCACGCCCUAAACGUUGAUUACUCGCUGUUGGCGAUACACUGUCAGCGGCUAAGCGAAAGCGGUAAGUAAUCCACCUGGGGAGUACGGUCGCAAGAUUGAAACUCAAAGGAAUUGACGGGGGCCCGCACAAGCGGAGGAGCAUGUGGUUUAAUUCGAUGAUACGCGAGGAA